AGAACGAACGCUGGCGGCAUGCCUAAAACAUGCAAGUCGAACGGUGGCUUCGGCCACAGUGGCGCACGGGUGAGGAGCGCGUGGGAACCUGCCUCAGGGUACGGAAUAGCUUCGGGAAACUGGAAUUAAUACCGUAUGGUGCCAAUGUCUGUGGAGGAUAUUGGCUAAAGAUUUAUCGCCAUGAGAGGGGCCCGCGUCGGAUUAGCUAGUUGGUGGGGUAAUGGCCUACCAAGGCGACGAUCCGUAGCUGGUCUGAGAGGAUGAUCAGCCACACUGGGACUGAGACACGGCCCAGACUCCUACGGGAGGCAGCAGUUAGGAAUAUUGGACAAUGGGGGAAACCCUGAUCCAGCAAUGCCGCGUGUGUGAUGAAGGCCUUAGGGUUGUAAAGCACUUUCGCCGAUGACGAUAAUGACGGUAGUCGGAGAAGAACGCCCGGCUAACUCGCGCCAGCAGCCGCGGUAA
RNAcentral lists this ribosomal RNA (465 nucleotides) under uncultured bacterium. Its description in RNAcentral is "SSU rRNA". It matches the Rfam family "Bacterial small subunit ribosomal RNA", at positions 26 to 523 of the family's 1533-position model. The record is from RNAcentral.